AUGAUUGCGAAUGGUUACCUUCGGUGCUGGCUGGCUCACUUGUGAGCAAGUAAAGUGCACGUUGGUGGCUUUCAUCCACUCCCACACUUGUGAACCUUUGACCUCUUGCUGGCUUCGGCUGAGAGGGGUAUUUUUUACACCACACUUGAAUGUAAUGAAACAGAUGUAUUGUAUUGUGCGUGAGCACUAAUGUA
This 194-nucleotide unclassified non-coding RNA is filed under the name uncultured Sebacinaceae. Its description in RNAcentral is "sequence contains ITS1". Lineage: Eukaryota; Fungi; Basidiomycota; Agaricomycetes; Sebacinales; Sebacinaceae. The record is from RNAcentral.